UAGGGAAUCUUCCACAAUGGACGAAAGUCUGAUGGAGCAACGCCGCGUGAGUGAAGAAGGUUUUCGGAUCGUAAAACUCUGUUGGUAGAGAAGAACGUUGGUGAGAGUGGAAAGCUCAUCAAGUGACGGUAACUACCCAGAAAGGGACGGCUAACUACGUGCAAG
Molecule: ribosomal RNA, 165 nt
Filed under: uncultured bacterium
Lineage: Bacteria
Description: partial 16S rRNA
Rfam family: Bacterial small subunit ribosomal RNA
Source: RNAcentral